This 17-nucleotide small RNA is filed under the name Arabidopsis thaliana (thale cress). Its description in RNAcentral is "ATSL080490". The record is from RNAcentral. Lineage: Eukaryota; Viridiplantae; Streptophyta; Magnoliopsida; Brassicales; Brassicaceae.
AAAACUUGUCUUUCUUU